Molecule: ribosomal RNA, 1343 nt
Filed under: uncultured bacterium
Lineage: Bacteria
Description: 16S ribosomal RNA
Rfam family: Bacterial small subunit ribosomal RNA
Source: RNAcentral
GACGAACGCUGGCGGCGUGCUUAACACAUGCAAGUCGAACGGAAAGGCCCUGCUUUUGUGGGGUGCUCGAGUGGCGAACGGGUGAGUAACACGUGAGUAACCUGCCCUUGACUUUGGGAUAACUUCAGGAAACUGGGGCUAAUACCGGAUAGGAGCUCCUGCUGCAUGGUGGGGGUUGGAAAGUUUCGGCGGUUGGGGAUGGACUCGCGGCUUAUCAGCUUGUUGGUGGGGUAGUGGCUUACCAAGGCUUUGACGGGUAGCCGGCCUGAGAGGGUGACCGGCCACAUUGGGACUGAGAUACGGCCCAGACUCCUACGGGAGGCAGCAGUGGGGAAUAUUGCACAAUGGGCGGAAGUCUGAUGCAGCAACGCCGCGCGCGGGAUGACGGCCUUCGGGUUGUAAACCGCUUUCGCCUGUGACGAAGCGUGAGUGACGGUAAUGGGUAAAGAAGCACCGGCUAACUACGUGCCAGCAGCCGCGGUGAUACGUAGGGUGCGAGCGUUGUCCGGAUUUAUUGGGCGUAAAGGGCUCGUAGGUGGUUGAUCGCGUCGGAAGUGUAAUCUUGGGGCUUAACCCUGAGCGUGCUUUCGAUACGGGUUGACUUGAGGAAGGUAGGGGAGAAUGGAAUUCCUGGUGGAGCGGUGGAAUGCGCAGAUAUCAGGAGGAACACCAGUGGCGAAGGCGGUUCUCUGGGCCUUUCCUGACGCUGAGGAGCGAAAGCGUGGGGAGCGAACAGGCUUAGAUACCCUGGUAGUCCACGCUGUAAACGGUGGGUACUAGGUGUGGGGUCCAUUCCACGGGUUCCGUGCCGUAGCUAACGCUUUAAGUACCCCGCCUGGGGAGUACGGCCGCAAGGCUAAAACUCAAAGGAAUUGACGGGGCCCCGCACAAGCGGCGGAGCAUGCGGAUUAAUUCGAUGCAACGCGUAGAACCUUACCUGGGUUUGACAUGGAUCGGGAGCGCUCAGAGAUGGGUGUGCCUCUUUUGGGGUCGGUUCACAGGUGGUGCAUGGCUGUCGUCAGCUCGUGUCGUGAGAUGUUGGGUUAAGUCCCGCAACGAGCGCAACCCUUGUUCACUGUUGCCAGCACGUUAUGGUGGGGACUCAGUGGAGACCGCCGGGGUCAACUCGGAGGAAGGUGGGGAUGACGUCAAGUCAUCAUGCCCCUUAUGUCCAGGGCUUCACGCAUGCUACAAUGGCUGGUACAGAGAGUGGCGAGCCUGUGAGGGUGAGCGAAUCUCGGAAAGCCGGUCUCAGUUCGGAUUGGGGUCUGCAACUCGACCUCAUGAAGUCGGAGUCGCUAGUAAUCGCAGAUCAGCAACGCUGCGGUGAAUAUGUUCCCGGG